UACGGAGGGUGCAAGCGUUAUCCGGAUUCACUGGGUUUAAAGGGUGCGUAGGCGGCCCGUUAAGUCGGAUGUGAAAACCCGUGGCUCAACCACGGGCCUGCAUCCGAUACUGGCGGGCUCGAGGCAGGCAGGGGAGAUCGGAAUUCCUGGUGUAGCGGUGAAAUGCGCAGAUAUCAGGAGGAACACCGGUGGCGAAGGCGGAUCUCUGGGCCUGUCCUGACGCUCAGGCGCGAAAGCUAGGGGAGCAAACAGG
RNAcentral lists this ribosomal RNA (253 nucleotides) under uncultured bacterium. Its description in RNAcentral is "partial 16S ribosomal RNA". It matches the Rfam family "Bacterial small subunit ribosomal RNA", at positions 524 to 776 of the family's 1533-position model. The record is from RNAcentral.